RNAcentral lists this unclassified non-coding RNA (818 nucleotides) under Hevea brasiliensis (rubber tree). Lineage: Eukaryota; Viridiplantae; Streptophyta; Magnoliopsida; Malpighiales; Euphorbiaceae. The record is from RNAcentral.
AGUACAACCAAAACUCCUUCCACCCGUAAACAAAGCUCAUGAUGGGAAUGACAAUGCAAUGUAUGAUCAAAUAAUUGUAAAAAACAGUGUCAAGACUCCUUUGCAGUGAAAACAAGAGAAGGGAAGAAACCAGGUGGGUUGAGGGAACAAGGGCCAUAUCGUUAAACUUGCUGGUAGAUAAAAACAGCACAAAAUCAAUAGAACAACAAUAUAUCACGAAAAUUUGAAGAUGAAGAGGUAUUUUAGUUCAAAAAACAUAAGAUUGUAAAUAUAUGCUUUAGACCAAAACGUAUUGGUCACCUCAUCAUGGGACAGAGCAUCAAUGGGAGAGUCCAAAUAACCAUUCACUAUGAGAACUAAGGAGAUUCCAGGAAAUCACGUUAAAGAAUAGAAAUCUUCACAACACAUGGAAGUUCUCUUCUGGAUGUCUAAAAUCAGGUAACAUAACUUUUGUUUUCAAACCUCAAAUUAUAAUUUCAGAAGGAAGACUAGAAGUCAUCCAUCACCCCCUUCCCUGUUCUUACUCUAAAGGGAUAAUAUUAACAAGAAAUUUGACAAAUAUAGUAUGCUGGAAAUAUACAAGCCAAGGUCAGAUGGUAUAGUUUCCCAUGUGCCAAAAGUUCAAAUUACAGAAAGAACCCCUUUCAACCAACAGCCAGACGCUUUAUUUUCAUCCACAAUGAGCAUAAAACAAAUCAAAAUAAAUGUUAGCACUAAAAUAUAUGCAUAAAAAAAAUCCCUUCUUUCUUUGCUGUUAUACUAUCACAAUUUCCACAAAAGCACGAAGAAAGCCCAAUGUCUUAGGUUCUACAAGAAUA